CAAGAUUCCAGAGAGUUAUAUAAGUAAUAUAAGGAACACCAGGAAAAUUCAAUUUUCUUGAGACAAACGGGUUGGUCAAAAUAAUGGUAGCAGUAGUGGGCAGAUAGCAGAGGAUUAAUCUCGGAGGUAUCUGUUGUAUUGUUCUAUUCUCUUCAAGGCUCCUACUUGUGUCUCAUUAUAAUUCUCUGGUCCACUGAUGACAACAAUCAUUAUUACUCUGUCUUUGUCUAUCCAGAGACAAUCAUACCUCUUUCCCCUUGUCUUAUGAACUUCUUACCUUGUCUUACUCAUUUGUCUACUUACUUUCUCUUAUUAACUUCCUUUUCCUUCUGCUUGAGUCCUCUUCAUCUUUCUUCAACUUCCCAAGUCCUCUCAAAGGAGAGAUCAAUCUACUUCUGACUUCAGUGGGAAAAGGACCCAAAGAAGGGUUUGAGAUGGUUGUCAGGUGGGGGCUACAAUAGGGAGGGUGACAACUCAUAAGGAUGAAAACCCUCAGAAGCAGUUAACAAUGCUAGGUCUCAAGAGGAGAUCUAGAGGAAGUCCAUAUAAUAAACUGAGAAACUUACUUCUAGCAAAUAUAGAGUAUAGGAAGAAUUUUACAGAGAACUGGAUAGAUAAUGUGAUGCUUAUAUUUGUUCCAUUACCAAGUAACUUUUAUUUAUACUCUAAUGGGAGCUGGUCUCUCUCCUAAAAGAGAAGGCAAAAAGAUAUGAAGAAUGAUACUUCACUUUCCAAUUUAUCAGAAAGAAUGAAAUUUUCCUUUAAAAUGGAAGAUCUAUAUAACAUGAAAAAGAAAGAAGAAAAAAAGGCAGGGAGAAAUUCUGACUCUCAUCGUGUUGGAGAGUGGAAAAAUGUGAUACUGAGUAGACUGAGAAAUAAUAUCAAUCACUUGAGGCUAAAUAAUAGAUUUGAAGCUCUUUCUGAAGAGUUUUUCUGAGGAAGCAGCAACUUGCUCUCCAAGAAAUGAUAAUGUGACUUCACAGGUGCUGUUAGAGCAUUUUCAUUAAGAAAAGGUCAAGAGUAAGAGGAUGAAUAGUGAUGGUCGACAUUUCUUGACCUGAUAACAAGACUUGUUUACUGUCUUUCCAGGACAUGUGUGUAGGAAGUGACAUAGAACCUCUGAAGAACUGUAAAACUGGGUCUCUACCUGUUUUUGGAAAACUCAUGACAGUGCCAGAUGAGCAGAACUGAAAUAGAACAACCAAGUAGAAGAUAAAGGAAGAAAUCCUUGAAAUGGAAUAGAAAGAUCUCUUCCAGGAGGCUUUGCAGUGUUCUGGAGCUUUAUGCAAUCAAUACAAUGUUGUCCACAAACUGGAGCAUGUGGAGGACCUUUCCAUCCAUAUGGAAUCCUUCCUCAACCUAGAUUCUAUUCUGGAUCUCCUCUAUGCAAGUGAUGAAUAUUUUUGGUGAGCAAAAAUUUCCCUGUUUCAUUCCUCAACUUAUGUUUAUUAUAUGACAAUAGUUGAACAAAGUUAUCUGUUGUUCCAAGAAAUCUUGGUCUUGAUAUAUGGAUGGAACAUCCCUUGUUGUAAAAGAACCUAUAAAGGGAGCAUAUUUUUCCUACUAAGUUGAAUGCUGUUUUUGUAGUCAAUAAAUAAUAAGCACCAUGGGAUCUUAUAUUUUAUGCAUCUUUUAAUCAAUUUUAGAUGGUGAAGAUGUGGUCCAUUGCUGAAUAUCAUUUGUAAAUCCUGGUUGUUCUGUCCUCGUUGAAUUUAUGUAUAGAUGACCCUUAUAAAGAUUUUGUUUAGCUGGGAGGGUAAGCAUGUAAGUUGGUAGUUGAUGUUUUCUCAAAUAAAUACAUAUAUAUCUCUAUAUGUAUCACAUUCUAAGAUUGUUUUUCACACUUUUAGUAUCUUUUUCUCCUUUUGAAAAAGUCCUCUUCUACCUACAAAAUUGUACUGCUUUUGAUAGAGAUACCCUCUCUAUGUACUUAAGGCAGUCUGGGUGCUCUUCCCAUCUUUGUUCUUUUCGCUAUUUCUGUUUCUUCUGUAAACCCCUCAGGGACUAGGAUGUUAGGAUACCAGUGUGGUGGUCCUGCUACCCUUGAUGGAGAAGACAGUUUGUCUUCCUCUCUAGGUUUUUAUCCUUGAAAGUGCUUGGAUUGACUUUGAUUGGUUAGGUAUCUUGCUCACUUUCUUUAAAUUGGGUUUGUCUCCCUCCCACCCCUAGCCUCCACUACUUCUCUCAAUUUUUUUGAGACAAUACUGCUCAUAAAUCAUCCAUUAGUCUUCUUUGUAAGAUUUAAUAGACAAACGUACAUUCUAACCUGGUGUUGCCUUUGUCAACCAUCUCUCUAUUUGGCAAGCAGGUAAAAUAUUUCCCAACUAAGGGGCUUUCUGUUCUUCUUUUGGUCUUCUUGUUAUAGCAAUUAAUUUUGGUUGGUAACUUUAGAAUAAAAUUAUUAUGGUUGGUAUUGGUGUAAAUUUUGUUUUCCAUUUCU
Non-coding RNA from Phascolarctos cinereus (koala), 2440 nucleotides. The record is from RefSeq and is a predicted model, not a curated record. NCBI's taxonomy places the organism in Eukaryota, Metazoa, Chordata, Mammalia, Diprotodontia, Phascolarctidae.